AGAACUCUGGAGAAUCCCUUUUUUUAAAGGGUGCCGAAGGUGCAAGGUGUGUUCCACUAAUCUCUCAGGCCAAAGGACAGAGCG
This 84-nucleotide non-coding RNA is filed under the name bovine gut metagenome. RNAcentral's name for it is "Glycine riboswitch". It matches the Rfam family "Glycine riboswitch aptamer", at positions 9 to 86 of the family's 94-position model. Rfam says of the family: This family represents the bacterial glycine riboswitch. The record is from RNAcentral.